GAUAUAUGAACUAUGAAUAGUAUUUUGUAAAGUUGACUUAGAUAACACAUCUGCACAUCCAUUUCCAGUCCUUUUUGAUGCCUAAAUUCAAUUUCUUCAGAGCAGUUAUUCUACAAAGAGAUCGUAUGAGAUAUUGUUUUGAUAUUCAAAUUUGUUUCUUGACUAUUAAGAAGAUUGAUAACUGUAAAAAUAUCUCAUUCGAAUAUGUUAUGUUUAUAACCGAAUCCCCAACAUGAGACAAGUUUGUUUUAAAAGUAAAUAAUUUUAUUUUUCUUAUAUUAUAUAAUAAAUAUAUAUUAUUUACUGAUAAUUAAAAUAUAGUUAUUCAUCUAUCACAAAUAACUAUGCAAAUAUGUGAAUCAAGUACAACAAUCAAACAACAUAAUGAUUUUCACAAAGAAAAUUUAAAAAAUAUAUUUAUGUUAUGUAGUCUUAUUUUAUAUUUUUUAAAUAAUGUAAUACAAUAUUAUACAUUAUUUUUUUAGAAUUUAGAAAUACAUAUAAUAUCUUAUCCGCGCGUAGUGCGGUUAAAAAAUCUAGUAUAUGUAGAUUCUAGAUAGUUUAAUCAUUUAAUGGAUGAAAGAACUAAGUAAUCAAAAAAAUUAUAAAGGGAAAUUGUCACUAAUACCACUUUUCAUUUAUACACUAACCAAUUAUACCACCAGAUUUUUAAUGGUCAAAAUACCAUUGUACCCUUAAAUAAUUAAACCUAAAUUACUCUCCUUCUCCCCCACGACAGAUGUCUCUCGCCGGAGAUAUCGGUAAGGUUUCUCUCGCCGGAGAUAUCAGUCAGGUUUCUCUCGCCGGAGGUAUCCUCUCCGAUCCGAUCGGUGACUGUGAGAUCGUAAUUGAGUACGCCUCUCAUUUCAGGUAACGAUGAGUGAGGGACUCAGACUGCUCUCUUCGCCACUGGUGCUUUUGGUCUAUAAAGUACAAGUCGGAGCACCAGAAAUGAGAGAGAGCUCCGAUAUUAAAUAUUUAAUCUCCCACGGAUACGAUUUAAUCAACUUACUGAACUCCAAGAACGGAUUUGACGUCGUAUCGCGCGCAAAGCUUCAACCACUCAAUAGCUCUCCACUUUGCUUGCAAUGAGGAUUUCAAUCAGAUUUAGGAAUCUAUUAAAGACUGUAAGAAGAAGCUAGAAGCUUGCAAGAAGAAAACAGAGGAAGCUUAUUCAGAUGAAUCAGCAGGAGACGAUGACAUUGAGCGUCUUCAGAAAGAGCUUGAUGAAGAUAUGGAACUAGAAAGCAAGAUAAAUGACGAGCUUAGAUAAGUGUAUAUACUUUAGUUUCUAGUCCCUUGGUUCAGUGACAAGAAAAGUCUUUGUUCUGUCUGUCAAUACAGUCGUUGCUGAUGAACUCAAAGACCUGAAUGCACAAUGGACAUCGGUUGAUGAAAAGAGGCAAUCUUUAAAGAGUAAAGACCGGACGAGUUGAGAGCUGAGAAGAAGCUUUCUAUGUAUGCUUGUGUCACAAAGGUUAUACCAGAAGCAGACGUUAAUGAUCCAUCAAAGAUAUCAGGCUGUAUCCUUAUAUGUAUGCUUGUGUCACAAAGGUUAUACCAGAAGAAGACGUUAAUGAUCCAUCAAAGAUCUCAGGCUGUAUCCUUUUUCUUUUCAUCAUCUCUCUACUUCACGAGUCUCAUUCCUUGAGUGUUUUGAAUCCUUGAUUUAAAGUAUUCAUUAGAUAUGGUUUGAGAAGUUCCAAUUAGAGACAAAUAAGAUGACGGCCUAUGAGACAUGUAUAAUGGUUUAUAAGAUGUUUAUAUUAGUUAUAAUGGUUUAUAAAUUAUUUGUAAGGAAUUAUAUAUAAUUUAUAAAGGUUUAUAAAUAAUUCUGAAGAUUUAUAGAUCAUUUGUAAUGGUUUCUAAGUUAUUUAUAUUGGUUUAUAUACACUCUGGUCUGGAUGAUCUUGCAGCAGCCUGCAAGGCAAUGGAAGGUGUAGAAGUAAUUAAUGAGAUUUGAUGUAGGAGAGAGUAAAGAAGGGUCGGGUAUGGCUAACGAAGCGGUUUUCUUUUCCAAUCUAUUCUCGGAAUGGGACUGUACUCCUUCGCCAGCCUCUUUGAUAUACCUUACACUAUUUGUAGGCUCAACAAGUUUUGAUGAACUUUGAGGAACCGUUGAAGGAUUAUGUUCGUUAUGUGCAAUCCAUCAAGGUGAUUUUCUCUAGCUUUUGCCUUUGGGAUUAGAUUCUGUUUAUGCACACUAGACAUGUCUGGACAUUAAACUCUACCCUCUUGCUUUCGUUUUGUGUAUUCAAGGCGACAAUAGCAUAACGAGGCACUGCAUUCAGGCAACAUUGUGAAUUGGCAGAAACAACAAAGUUAAAGGAAAUAAACCUGUAUGAUAUAUAUUCUGAGUCAAAUAUGAUUACUUUGGAACAUUCUAUAAACCCUUCUCUUUUACUUGCAGUGACAAACUCAUGCUCACAUGUUCUGACAAAGUAGGAGAAGCUGAGAAGGAAUACAGAGAGGUAACAACAGCAACUCCAUAUACGGUGGUGCUUAGGAAGCAACAAUAAGAUUUGAGAGGAUGGUGAAGAGAAUGAAAAGAGAUAGUGAGGUUCUCAAUGCUCAAUUAUACCUUUUCAUAAGGCCUUGUAAAACAAACUAUAAAAGAAUGAUGUUCUUUAAUAAGCAAAGAAAUGGUGGAAAGUUGGUUAAUUUGGUGAUUUAUAAACUCUUAUAAAUAGA
Molecule: long non-coding RNA, 2691 nt
Organism: Brassica napus (rape)
Lineage: Eukaryota; Viridiplantae; Streptophyta; Magnoliopsida; Brassicales; Brassicaceae
Exons: 4
Source: RefSeq, a predicted model, not a curated record